CAUUCUAGGUUCAACCUUCUUCCUUUAAAUCUCUCGAUCUCUACCAUGUGUCUCAGUAGGAGCUGAUCCCAAGCAACCUUCUAAAUAAAAAAUCUCAUCCUGGGAUGAGCAGCCACUCUCCAAAUCUAGGCUGUCUCGAUCCUCCUACUCAUCGUAGGCCAGCACAUCUCGGACAAGUCCCUUGUGAGAACCUUAGGGCAGUGUAAUCAGCCCCACAUCCUCAAAUCCUUGCUAUGGUGGAUAGAAAUCGAGAUGGCGAGGAUCCGAUCAAUGAGCAAGC
Molecule: long non-coding RNA, 280 nt
Filed under: Elaeis guineensis (African oil palm)
Lineage: Eukaryota; Viridiplantae; Streptophyta; Magnoliopsida; Arecales; Arecaceae
Description: long non-coding RNA (EGUI_LNC023062)
Source: RNAcentral